RNAcentral lists this small nuclear RNA (161 nucleotides) under Neogale vison (American mink). RNAcentral describes it as "Neovison vison (American mink) U4 spliceosomal RNA (ENSNVIG00000010623.1)". The stretch from base 1 to 67 matches the Rfam family "U4 spliceosomal RNA". Lineage: Eukaryota; Metazoa; Chordata; Mammalia; Carnivora; Mustelidae. The record is from RNAcentral.
AGCUUUGCGCAGUGGCAGUAUCGUAGCCAAUGAGGUUUAUCCGAGGCGCGAUUAUUGCUAAUUGGAUGUACAUUUCAACUUUGGGCAGUUCACUUCACCCACCUGGCCACCACUUUCCUCAUCUGCAAAAUGAGAAAAAUAAUCCUGAUCUUAAAAUGAAA